This 699-nucleotide ribosomal RNA is filed under the name uncultured bacterium. RNAcentral describes it as "partial 16S ribosomal RNA". The record is from RNAcentral.
UAUGGCUACCUUGUUACGACUUCACCCCAAUCACCGCUCAAACCUUGGGCCGCUCCUUCCUUGCGGUUAGGUCACGGACUUCUGGUUCAAGUAGCUUUCGUGGUGUGACGGGCGGUGUGUACAACGCCCGGGAACGUAAUCACCGCGGCAUGCUGAUCCUCGAUUACUAACGAUUCCUCCUUCAUGGAGUCGAAUUGCACACUCACAAUCCGAACUGAGAUCAGCUUUUUGGGAUUUGCUUCCCCUCGCGGGCUCACGACCCUCUGUGCCAACAAUUGUAGCACGUGAGUAACCCUGGACAUAAGGGCCAUGACGACUUGACGUCCUCCACACCUUCCUCCGGUUUAACACCGGAAGUCUCAAUAGAGUGCCCAGCCGAACUGAUGGCAACUAAUGAUAGGGGUUGCGCUCGCUGCGGGACUUAACCCUUCACCUCACGACACGAGCUGACGACUGCCAUGCAUCACCUGUCUUGGAGCUCCCAAAGGAACCCUCUCGUAACCCAGAGGUUCCCCAGAUGUCAAUUCCAAGUAAGGUUCUGCGCGUUGCUUUAAAUUAAACCACAUGCUCCACCUCUUGUGUGGGCCCCCGUCAAUUCCUUUCAAAUUUAGUCCUGCGAAAUUACUCUCCAAACUGCGUGCAAAAAGGAUUAACGACGGAACUGCAAGUGUCACAAUACGCGCACAAUAAAAUCUUAAC